RNAcentral lists this ribosomal RNA (572 nucleotides) under uncultured Glomeromycotina. RNAcentral's name for it is "SSU rRNA". It matches the Rfam family "Eukaryotic small subunit ribosomal RNA", at positions 548 to 1114 of the family's 1831-position model. Lineage: Eukaryota; Fungi; Glomeromycota. The record is from RNAcentral.
UUGGAGGGCAAGUCUGGUGCCAGCAGCCGCGGUAAUUCCAGCUCCGAUAGCGUAUAUUAAAGUUGUUGCAGUUAAAAAGCUCGUAGUUGAAUUUCGGGAUUGGCGCAUCGGUCGUGCCUCACGGGGUAUGAACUGGUGCAGUCAAUUUCCCACCUUCUGGAGAACCGCGAUGUCCUUAAUUGGAUGCCGCGGGGAACCAGGACCUUUACUUUGAAAAAAUUAGAGUGUUUAAAGCAGGCAUUUUUGCUUGAAUACAUUAGCAUGGAAUAAUAAAAUAGGACGGCAUGGUUCUAUUUUGUUGGUUUCUAGGACCACCGUAAUGAUUAAUAGGGAUAGUUGGGGGCAUUAGUAUUCAAUUGUCAGAGGUGAAAUUCUUGGAUUUAUUGAAGACUAACUACUGCGAAAGCAUUUGCCAAGGAUGUUUUCAUUAAUCAAGAACGAAAGUUAGGGGAUCGAAGACGAUCAGAUACCGUCGUAGUCUUAACCAUAAACUAUGCCGACUAGGAAUCAGACGAUGUUAAUUUUUUAAUGACUCGUUUGGCACCUUACGGGAAACCAAAGUGUUUGGGUUC